AACGACUCUCGGCAACGGAUAUCUCGGCUCUCGCAUCGAUGAAGAACGUAGCGAAAUGCGAUACUUGGUGUGAAUUGCAGAAUCCCGUGAACCAUCGAGUCUUUGAACGCAAGUUGCGCCCCAAGCCAUUAGGCCAAGGGCACGUCUGCCUGGGUGUCACGC
RNAcentral lists this ribosomal RNA (162 nucleotides) under Hibiscus rosa-sinensis (Chinese hibiscus). Its description in RNAcentral is "5.8S ribosomal RNA". It matches the Rfam family "5.8S ribosomal RNA". Rfam says of the family: 5.8S ribosomal RNA (5.8S rRNA) is a component of the large subunit of the eukaryotic ribosome. It is transcribed by RNA polymerase I as part of the 45S precursor that also contains 18S and 28S rRNA. Functionally, it is thought that 5.8S rRNA may be involved in ribosome translocation. The record is from RNAcentral. Lineage: Eukaryota; Viridiplantae; Streptophyta; Magnoliopsida; Malvales; Malvaceae. RNAcentral also lists the same sequence under 2 other names.